This 252-nucleotide ribosomal RNA is filed under the name uncultured bacterium. Its description in RNAcentral is "partial 16S ribosomal RNA". It matches the Rfam family "Bacterial small subunit ribosomal RNA", at positions 57 to 305 of the family's 1533-position model. The record is from RNAcentral.
GCAAGUCGAGCGGUAACAGGAAUUAGCUUGCUAGACUGAUGACGAGUGGCGAACGGGUGAGUAACGCGUAGGAAUAUACCUUUUAGUGGGGGACAACUCGGGGAAACUCGAGCUAAUACCGCAUAAGCUCUAUUGAGGAAAGCUGGGGACCUUCGGGCCUGGCGCUAGAAGAUUAGCCUGCGUACGAUUAGCUAGUUGGGGGGGUAAAGGCCCACCAAGGCGACGAUCGUUAGCUGGUCUGAGAGGAUGAUC